GGCGGGCGGGUGAGUAACGCGUGGGAAUCUACCCAGUAGUGGGGGACAACUACCGGAAACGGUAGCUAAUACCGCAUACGCCCUAUGGGGGGAAGGCUUCGGCCGCUAUUGGAUGAGCCCGCGUCAGAUUAGCUAGUUGGUAGGGUAAAGGCCUACCAAGGCAACGAUCUGUAGCUGGUCUGAGAGGACGAACAGCCACACUGGGGCUGAGACACGGCCCAGACUCCUACGGGAGGCAGCAGUGGGGAAUAUUGGACAAUGGGCGAAAGCCUGAUCCAGCAAUGCCGCGUAUGUGAAGAGGGCCUGCGGGUUGUAAAGCACUUUCAGUUGGGAAGAUGAUGACGUUACCAACAGAAGAAGCACCGGCUAAAUCCGUGCCAGCAGCCGCGGUAAUACGGAUGGUGCGAGCGUUAAUCGGAAUUACUGGGCGUAAAGCGCGC
This 440-nucleotide ribosomal RNA is filed under the name uncultured Gammaproteobacteria bacterium. RNAcentral describes it as "bacterial SSU rRNA". It matches the Rfam family "Bacterial small subunit ribosomal RNA", at positions 97 to 570 of the family's 1533-position model. The record is from RNAcentral. Lineage: Bacteria; Pseudomonadati; Pseudomonadota; Gammaproteobacteria.